UCUCUCUCUCUCUCUCUCUCUCUCUCUUAGAAACUCAACUUUUCUUACAUAGAUCUCUAGAUCUACUUGGUUAGAGACAUCUUUUCACCUUGGUCCUUUGAGAAAAGUUGUAGAUCUCAUCAAUGGCUUUCUUUUGAUCCAAGAGUUUUGUGGUUUCAUUGACUUUGAGUUUUUCAGAGUUCUCGUAUUCGCUUCAAGAGGUGUACAUGUGUGGAUAUGGACUGAAACGUGAAGCUGUGUUCGAAACCGUGUAGGAUGGUUCUGUUGUUUGUAGGCUAAGGGCCAUUUAUGUUAUUUAUUGGUCAUGUGACAUUCUUGUAAAGGUUACACCCUUGCGUAUAAUCUUCCUGUCCUAGAGUGAUCCAGGGGCUGCACACUUAAGCGGGUUGUGUUUCACCCUGAUUCUACCAGGUUCAGGCCUCUGAAUCGACCUGACCCAUUUGCAACCCCAAAUAUGCCAACUCAGGACUUUUACAGUUCUAGUCUUCAGCUUGAACAAACCCUAGAGGUUUUGGUGAACCCAUCUAGCCCAACUGAAGCAUGAGCCCGCUUGAGCCCGUUUAUUUUUCAACCUUCGAAAAAGCCUACUUUUGCCGUUAGUUGAUGACAAUAAAAAGU
Long non-coding RNA from Camellia sinensis, 618 nucleotides. RefSeq lists it as uncharacterized. NCBI's taxonomy places the organism in Eukaryota, Viridiplantae, Streptophyta, Magnoliopsida, Ericales, Theaceae. The record is from RefSeq and is a predicted model, not a curated record.